This 1742-nucleotide ribosomal RNA is filed under the name uncultured marine eukaryote. RNAcentral describes it as "SSU rRNA". It matches the Rfam family "Eukaryotic small subunit ribosomal RNA". The record is from RNAcentral.
AUGUCUAAGUAUAAGCAAUUAUGCGAAACUGCGGACGGCUCAUUAUAUCAGUUCUAAUCCACUCUAUGAUUUAUCAUAUACGGAUAACCGUGGGAAUUCUAGGGAUAAUACGUGCAACAAUACCAAAGGCUUUAGCUUGAGGUAGUAUGUAUUAGACUGAGACCAACGUGGGUUAAACCACUAAGUCAUAGAUGAACCAUAGUACACUUACGAAUCGACUCACUUCGGUGAUCGAUGUAAAGAAAGAGGUUCUGCCCUAUCAACUGUCAACCGUAGUAUAGAGGACUAUGGUGGUUGUUACGGGUAACGGGGAAUUAGGGUUCGAUUCCGGAGAGGGAGCCUGAGAAACGGCUACCACUUCUAAGGAAGGCAGCAGGCGCGUAAAUUACCCAAUCCUGAAUUGGGGAGGUAGUGACAAGAAAUACCGGUGUAGUACCAAUAGGUACUACUACUGGAAUGAGUACAAUUUAAACACCAUAACGAGGAACAAUUGGAGGGCAAGUCUGGUGCCAGCAGCCGCGGUAAUUCCAGCUCCAAAAGUGUAUACACAAGUUGUUGCGGUUAAAAAGCUCGUAGUUGGACCGUGGGUUUGAUAGCAGUGUGGUACCAUGAGCAACGCUCUUGGAUUAACGCCAGCUGUAUCUUACCAUAUAUAUAGAUAACAUUAGAGGGCUUCGGCACUCGUCAUCUAAAAUUUACUUUGAAAAAAUUAGGGUGUUCAAAGCAGGCAAUUUGCCAGAAUACAUUAGCAUGGGAUAAUAGAACAUGACCUUCGGGUCUUGUUUGUUGGUUUCGUACCAGAAGGUAAUGAUUAACAGGGAUAGCUGGGGUUGAUUGUAUUCAGGGGCGAGAGGUGAAAUUCUAUGACCCUCUGAAGACAAACUAAUGCGAAGGCAUUCAACAAGGAUGUUUUCAUUAAUCAAGAACGAAAGUUGUGGGAGCGAAGAUGAUCAGAUACCGUUGUAGUCACAACCGUAAAUUAUGUCGACUCAGGGAUCAGUGGAAGUUGCAUGGAUGACUCCAUUGGCACUGUAUGAGAAAUCAAAGUAUCCAGACUCCGGGGGAGUAUGGUCGCAAGGCUGAAACUUAAAGGAAUUGACGGGAAGCGCACCACCAGGAGUGGAACCUGCGGCUUAAUUCGACUCAACACGGGAAAACUCACCCAGUCCAGACUUAACUAGGAUUGACAGAUUGAUAGCUCUUUCUUGAUUUUAAGGUAGCCGGUGCAUGGCCGAUUUUAGUUGGUGGAGUGAUUUGUCUGGUUAAUUCCGAUAACGAACGAGACCUCUAUUUAUUAAAUAGUGGCAGUAUUAGUGUUCCUUUCGAGGUUCACAUCAAUGAUAGUGAAACACUUCUUAGAGAAACAGCUUACACAAGUAAGAGGAAGUUAGAGGCAAAAUCAGGUCUGUGAUGCCGCUAGAUGUCUGGGGCUGCACGCGCGUUACAAUGACAUAUUCAGCAAGUACAUUGAUUUCCUUUCCUGCAAAGGUUGGGUAAUCUUUAAACGUAUGUCGUUACAGGGAUUGUAUAUUGAAAUUAUUGAACAUGAACGAGGAAUUCCUAGUAGGUAUGGUUCAUCAAACCAUGCCGAUUAAGUCCCUGCGCUUUGUACACACCGCCCGUCGCUCCUACCGAUCGAAUUACUCGAUGAAAAUUCGGGAUCUCGUUGGCUCAUCUGCACUGAAAGGUGUGGGUACCUAUGGGAGAACCUAUUUGAAUCUCGUACUUUAGAGGAAGGAGAA